Salvelinus sp. IW2-2015 is the source of this 2094-nucleotide long non-coding RNA. RefSeq lists it as uncharacterized. NCBI's taxonomy places the organism in Eukaryota, Metazoa, Chordata, Actinopteri, Salmoniformes, Salmonidae. The record is from RefSeq and is a predicted model, not a curated record.
AGACGGGGAAUCUCCAGAAGAAGAUUGAGGGUCUUUACCUCAGUGUGAAACAGAGGAAACACUACCUCUACCGUUUGACAGUUUCUUUUGUCCAUGGUUGUGCCACAGCUGUGUGGUUGCGCUCUGACAGUGACAAGUGGCAAGCAGGACAUCCUGAUUGAAUAAAAAGCUGCUACAACCUGUCCCUACCUACUCUGAACUGCUCCGGGUGUCUUAGACAUUGGACAGUGGGGCUGGACGAACUUGUAAAGAGUGGCUACUGGCCAGCCACCGUGACACACCAGACCAUCUUCACAGUGGACCUCUUCAGGUCAUUUGAAGACAUGAAGGUGUUGGCCCCAGGAAGCUGCCCUCAAGCCUUUGUGUGAAUGCUUGAUGGAAGAACAAAGCACUUUGGCAGGCCACACUUCAGGAUAGUCAGACAGGGCAGACGGGGAAUCUCCAGAAGAAGAUUGAGGGUCUUUACCUCAGUGUGAAACAGAGGAAACACUACCUCUACCGUUUGACAGGUAAGCCCCAACAACAAUAUGACCUCAAACACAUUAUUAAUCAAGCAGUAAAACGAGUAAAAUCACUACAUGUUUAUGUGGUCAUCACCUAUGUUUUUAAUUGAUAUAAUGCAAACAUUUAAUUAAACUCAGAAUUUCUUGACCAUCAACAGAGCAUCUCGUGAGCCACAACUCUGCAUGCCUUGUAUAAUGUUAUAACUACAUGACAACAAGUGCUUUAUAAAUGAGUACCUCUAUAACGUAUAGUCCUGUAAUACUGUAUAUCUGUCUAAUCACCCCUUUUUAUUCUGACAAUAACAAGAGUUAUUGAUUAUGAGAAAUUGUUGAGGUCAAAGCAGCCUUUACAGCUGCCAUUGUUCAACUUUAUGAGCAUCAGGCAGAGUUUAGGCUCCCCACGGUGGAUGAGGUGCUCAAUAUUGACAACUUUGUGUGGCCAUGGGAGAGACUUGGCAACAGUAAGUAUAUGAUUACACAAGGUAUCUAUUGUGAUUGAAGAUUAGCCUUCACCAUCGCUGCAAUCAUUGCUGUUGUUCUGUUAUAUACCUCUGUGAGUUUACAUCUCACAGGCAACAGCCAUCUUGCCAAAAGAAGGCGAUUUUCAACAGACAUGUUGGUGAACAGACUGCAGGAGUAAGAGAGGAUCCUGGUGCAGGAGAUGAAGAGGCACUUGGGGAGCCCACAAAGAGCAGCGAGAACUCUGGAGGCACUGUCCCUACAGCUGCAAGAUCAGAGGAAGUUGAGGCAAUGCAGUGGAGUUGUCAGAGGGAGGAAGGAAUGGACUUCUCUGCCACCUGAAGGGAAGAUUGAGUGAACUGACACAAGACCAAGUCAACACCACGAAUAACUAUCACAAGCUGAUUCUGGGAGAAGGGUAUAUUUUUGAUGACUCUGAUGUAGAUGUGAACUCAGAUGAAGAUAGAUAUAGAUCCUAUUGCUGAGAGCUCAGAUGACGACUGCUAUGCUUUCUGAAAUCAUACAUCACCCCUGCCUCUUUCUCUCGGUCUCGCUCUCUCCCGUAGGAGAGGGAAAAGGCUGCCACUACCUCCCUUGGGAGCAGCCUGGUCUCCUGACGUUGACCUCUGACCCCUCACUUUCUGAACCCAUCCAGGGAAAUGUAAUUUGCCUGAUGACAUGCUAGUGGAGAAGGAAUGUGUCAUUUCAGUGCAUUUGUUGCCAUGUUUCCUCUCCUCACCUAGCCUCCUAGAUUUCUUCAAGUCCUAGACUAUGGCAACAUCAUCAGCAACUCAGACUGUUGGUUGGGGACCUCUUUACUGAGGAAUGUGGUUGUUCUUCAUGAUAGUUUUUUUGUAUUUUCUUGGAGUAUUAUCUAUGCUGCCGUGAUUGGGAUUUUUGUGUAAUUGUGAGUUACAAAAGAGUCCUUGGUCUCAGUGGGACUGCUAAAAUAGAUAAAUGUCUUAAUAAAUACACUACCGUUCAAAAGUUUGGUGUCACUUAGAAAUGCCCUUGUUUUCCAUGAAAACAUACAUGAAAUGAGUUCAAAAUUAAUAGGAAACAUAUUCAUGGAAUGGGUACAUCGAAAAUCUCUUCCCAACUAUUUUGCAAUUUAUAUGGCACAGCUGUCAGU